UACGGAGGGUGCAAGCGUUAAUCGGAAUUACUGGGCGUAAAGCGUGCGCAGGCGGUUUGUUAAGUCCGCUGUGAAAUCCCCGAGCUCAACUUGGGAAUUGCAGUGGAUACUGGCAAGCUGGAGUAUGGUAGAGGAAGGUGGAAUUCCCGGUGUAGCAGUGAAAUGCGUAGAGAUCGGGAGGAACACCAAUGGCGAAGGCGGCCUUCUGGACCAAUACUGACGCUCAUGCACGAAAGCGUGGGGAGCAAACAGG
This 253-nucleotide ribosomal RNA is filed under the name uncultured bacterium. RNAcentral's name for it is "partial 16S ribosomal RNA". It matches the Rfam family "Bacterial small subunit ribosomal RNA", at positions 524 to 776 of the family's 1533-position model. The record is from RNAcentral.